Long non-coding RNA from Nomascus leucogenys (northern white-cheeked gibbon), 99 nucleotides. RefSeq lists it as uncharacterized. The record is from RefSeq and is a predicted model, not a curated record. Lineage: Eukaryota; Metazoa; Chordata; Mammalia; Primates; Hylobatidae. The transcript is spliced from 4 exons.
GUUGGCGGCUUGUGUGUCUUCUUUUGAGAAGUGUUCAGUCAUGUCUUUUGCCCUCUUUUUAAUGGAGUUACUUGUUUUUUUUUUCUUGAAUUGUUUCCU